UGGGGAAUAUUGGACAAUGGGGGAAACCCUGAUCCAGCAAUGCCGCGUGUGCGAUGAAGGCCUGCGGGUUGUAAAGCACUUUCGGUGGGGAAGAAAUGCUCAAAUAUAAUACAUUUGAGAGCUGACGUUACCCACAGAAGAAGCACCGGCAAACUCUGUGCCAGCAGCCGCGGUAAUACAGAGGGUGCAAGCGUUAAUCGGAGUUACUGGGCGUAAAGGGUGUGUAGGCUGGUACUUUAGUCGAUUGUGAAAUCCCUGGGCUUAACCUAGGAAUUGCAUUCGAUACUGGGUAUCUUGAGUAUGGUAGAGGAAAGUGGAAUUCUCGGUGUAGUGGUUAAAUACGUAGAGAUCGAGAAGAACAUCGGUGGCGAAGGCGACUUUCUGGGCCAAUACUAACGCUGAGACACGAAAGCGUGGGGAGCAAACAGG
RNAcentral lists this ribosomal RNA (429 nucleotides) under uncultured bacterium. RNAcentral describes it as "bacterial SSU rRNA". It matches the Rfam family "Bacterial small subunit ribosomal RNA", at positions 355 to 776 of the family's 1533-position model. The record is from RNAcentral.